GAUGAACGCUGGCGGCGUGCUUAACACAUGCAAGUCGAACGGGAUCCAAGGAGCGUUUUUCGUUUUUUGGUGAGAGUGGCGAACGGGUGAGUAACACGUGAGUAACCUGUCCUUUUCUUUGGGAUAAGCUCCUGAAAGGGUGUUUAAUACCUUAUGUUCUGUCUGCCUCGCAUGGGGUGGGUGGGAAAGAUUUUUUCGGUGAAGGGUGGGCUCGCGGUCUAUCAGCUUGUUGGUGGGGUGAUGGCUUACCAAGGCUUUGACGGGUAGCCGGCCUGAGAGGGUGGUCGGUCACAUUGGGACUGAGAUACGGCCCAGACUCCUGCGGGAGGCAGCAGUGGGGGAUAUUGCACAAUGGGCGCAAGCCUGAUGCAGCGACGCCGCGUGGGGGAUGAAGGCCUUCGGGUUGUAAACUUCUUUUGCUCUGAAAAAGGCGCAUCUUUGGGGUGUGUUGAGUGUAGGGGUUGAUUAGCGCCGGCUAACUACGUG
RNAcentral lists this ribosomal RNA (486 nucleotides) under uncultured bacterium. RNAcentral's name for it is "partial 16S ribosomal RNA". It matches the Rfam family "Bacterial small subunit ribosomal RNA", at positions 28 to 507 of the family's 1533-position model. The record is from RNAcentral.